Long non-coding RNA from Cydia fagiglandana, 724 nucleotides. RefSeq lists it as uncharacterized. The record is from RefSeq and is a predicted model, not a curated record. NCBI's taxonomy places the organism in Eukaryota, Metazoa, Arthropoda, Insecta, Lepidoptera, Tortricidae. The transcript has 3 exons.
UACAUAUUUCCAUAUUCACUGCAAAGCGAAUGUAUGUUAUCUGCAAAGCGAAUGUAUAUUAUCUGCAAAGCGAAUGCCAUUUUCCUGCAACGCGAAUGUCAUUUUCCUGCAAUGCGAAUGUAUUUUAUCUGCACCGCGAAUGUAUUUCUGUGUGCUUGCGAACUUCAAGAUCAAGAACGAGAAGAACGAAAAUACCAAGACCUGACCAGGCCGAGGUGAAGACUAUCACCGAGAAGAAAUAAUAUUCCAACAUUGCACUUAGUAAAUCAGAAAUUUGCUGAUCUUUACACUUCAAGCGGGAAAUGUAAAUAAAUAUUGCUGCUGCCUUUAGUUUAUUCGGCGAUUCGUACAGAAGAAUUAUGAAGACUCGAAACUUAUUAUAACAUUGUAAAUUUAUAAAAAAAAAUAAGGACUUAACUGACAGACAUUUUAUACUUUGGAGCAGCGAAGAGCCAGACUAGACACAAGGAUAACCGUAAUGUUUUUUUAAAUAAUUUACAGAUAGGGAACCAACAGUACAGUCCACCACAACCUACAAAGAGUCCACCGUCCUCCUCAAUACUCCUCAUAGACAUCAAUUCUCAGCGUAGCUUCAUCGUAUAGUAUGGGUAUUAGGUAACAAUUGGGGCAGUGCGAUUAAAAAAUGUAAUAUGCCGCCAGUCAUUUUGUAGUCCUCUAAAUUCUCGUGUAUUGUCUGCAUUAUUACUUAUGUCUCAAACUCAUA